CCUACGGGGAGCAGCAGUCGAGAAUCAUUCACAAUGGGGGAAACCCUGAUGGUGCGACGCCGCGUGGGGGAAUGAAGGUCUUCGGAUUGUAAACCCCUGUCAUGUGGGAGCAAAUUAAAAAGAUAGUACCACAAGAGGAAGAGACGACUAACUCUGUGCCAGCAGCCGCGGUAAUACAGAGGUCUCAAGCGUUGUUCGGAAUCACUGGGCGUAAAGCGUGGGUAGGCUGUUUCGUAAGUCUGGUGUGAAAGGGGCGGGCUCAACCCGAGAACGGCACAUGAUACUGCGAGACUAGAGUAAUGGAGGGGGAAGCGGAAUUCGCGGUGUAGCAGUGAAAUGCGUAGAUAUCGAGAGGAACACUCGUGGCGAAGGCGGGUUCCUGGACAUUAACUGACGCUGAGGCACGAAGGCCAGGGGAGCGAAAGGGAUUAGAUACCCUUGUAGUC
Molecule: ribosomal RNA, 446 nt
Filed under: uncultured bacterium
Lineage: Bacteria
Description: partial 16S ribosomal RNA
Rfam family: Bacterial small subunit ribosomal RNA
Source: RNAcentral